AGGAAUGUAGUUCAGUGGUAGAGCAUGUGCUUACCAUGCAUGAAGGUUGGGUUCAAUCCCCAGCCUCUCUC
This 71-nucleotide transfer RNA is filed under the name Fukomys damarensis (Damara mole-rat). It matches the Rfam family "tRNA". Rfam says of the family: Transfer RNA (tRNA) molecules are approximately 80 nucleotides in length. The record is from Rfam by way of RNAcentral. Lineage: Eukaryota; Metazoa; Chordata; Mammalia; Rodentia; Bathyergidae.